Molecule: ribosomal RNA, 333 nt
Filed under: uncultured bacterium
Lineage: Bacteria
Description: bacterial SSU rRNA
Rfam family: Bacterial small subunit ribosomal RNA
Source: RNAcentral
GACGUGACUUCAGAGUUUGAUCCUGGCUCAGAUUGAACGCUGGCGGCAUGCCUUACACAUGCAAGUCGAACGGUAACAGGUCUUCGGACGCUGACGAGUGGCGAACGGGUGAGUAAUACAUCGGAACGUGCCCAGUCGUGGGGGAUAACUACUCGAAAGAGUAGCUAAUACCGCAUACGAUCUGAGGAUGAAAGCGGGGGACCUUCGGGCCUCGCGCGAUUGGAGCGGCCGAUGGCAGAUUAGGUAGUUGGUGGGAUAAAAGCUUACCAAGCCGACGAUCUGUAGCUGGUCUGAGAGGACGACCAGCCACACUGGGACUGAGACACGGCCCAG